CUACGGGGUGCAGCAGCAGGGAAUAUUGCACAAUGGACGGAAGUCUGAUGCAGCGACGCCGCGUGGAUGAUGAAUGCCCUCGGGUUGUAAAAUCCUUUUCAGGGGGACGAGGAAGGACGGUACCCUUGGAAUAAGCGUCGGCUAACUACGUGCCAGCAGCCGCGGUAAGACGUAGGACGCAAGCGUUAUCCGGAUUUACUGGGCGUAAAGCGUCUGUAGGCGGAAUGGUAAGUUGGACGUGAAAGCUCCGGGCUCAACCCGGAGAGGUCGUUCAAUACUGCCAAACUAGAGGGCAUCAGAGGAGCGUGGAAUUUCCGGUGUAGCGGUAAGAUGCGCAGAUAUCGGAAGGAACACCAAUGGCGAAGGCAGCGCUCUGGGAUGAACCUGACGCUAAGAGACGAAAGCUAGGGGAGCGAACAGGAUUAGAUACCCCCGUAGUC
RNAcentral lists this ribosomal RNA (440 nucleotides) under uncultured bacterium. RNAcentral's name for it is "partial 16S ribosomal RNA". It matches the Rfam family "Bacterial small subunit ribosomal RNA", at positions 339 to 795 of the family's 1533-position model. The record is from RNAcentral.